AGUGAACGCUGGCGGUAGGCCUAACACAUGCAAGUCGAACGGCAGCGCAGUAAGUUCUUGCUCUUACGGGUGGCGAGUGGCGGACGUGUGGCGUAUGCAACGGACUCUACUUUUUCGUGGGGCUUUACGUAGGGAAACUUACGCCAACACCGCAUACGUCCUACCAUUGAAAGCAUGUAAACUUCGCACCUUGUGCGAUUCAAUGAGCCGCUGUCGGAUUAGCUCGUUGGCGGGGUACAGGCCCACCAGGGCGACGAUCCGUAGCUGGUCUGAGAGGAUGAUCAGCCACACUGGACCGGAGACACGGUCAAGACUCCUACGGGAGGAAGCAGUGGGGAACAUUGGAAAAUGGGGGAAAGCCGGACGCAGCAAUACGGCGGAGGUGAGGAAGGCCUCGGGUUUGUAAAGUCCGUUGGUUGGGAAGGAAGAGUAGGAGGGUAGAACGCUGACGUUGUGACGGUACCUAAAGAAAAAGCACCGGCUAACUACGUG
This 492-nucleotide ribosomal RNA is filed under the name uncultured bacterium. RNAcentral describes it as "partial 16S ribosomal RNA". It matches the Rfam family "Bacterial small subunit ribosomal RNA", at positions 29 to 507 of the family's 1533-position model. The record is from RNAcentral.